AUACUUACCUGGCAGGGGAGACCCUGUGAUGACCAAGGCAGUUCUUCCAGGACGAGGCACACCCAUUGCACUCCGGGUGUGCUGACCCCUGUGAUUUCCCCAAAUGCGGGAAACUCGACUGCAUAAUUUAUGGUAGUGGGGGACUGCGUUUGCGUUUUUCCCUG
This 164-nucleotide small nuclear RNA is filed under the name Leptobrachium leishanense (Leishan spiny toad). RNAcentral describes it as "U1 spliceosomal RNA (ENSLLEG00000021448.1)". It matches the Rfam family "U1 spliceosomal RNA". Rfam says of the family: U1 is a small nuclear RNA (snRNA) component of the spliceosome (involved in pre-mRNA splicing). Its 5' end forms complementary base pairs with the 5' splice junction, thus defining the 5' donor site of an intron. The record is from Rfam by way of RNAcentral. Lineage: Eukaryota; Metazoa; Chordata; Amphibia; Anura; Megophryidae.